Molecule: long non-coding RNA, 277 nt
Filed under: Brassica napus (rape)
Lineage: Eukaryota; Viridiplantae; Streptophyta; Magnoliopsida; Brassicales; Brassicaceae
Description: long non-coding RNA (BNAP_LNC008617)
Source: RNAcentral
UUUGAAUAAAAUUCAAUCAUACUAUAUUUACCACAAAUACCAAAUUUAAUAUUUGAAAUCUGUUUUUGUGGUCAAUCUUCAAGAUCUAAAAUUUAAAUAAAAAUAGAAAAGUAUUUUCCUUUCUGUAAAAUUUAUAUAAUUCUUCUCGAUCUUUUUUUCCCAUAUAUAGUGCAUUUAUCAUUUCACAUUGCUCAAUUCUCUCUCACCCUAUGGUAAAUAUAUAAAAUUUGACCUAUUAUAUAGCCUCCCCAUCAGUUAUUAUCAUUUCUUCAUCUCU